AUCCAAUACAAAGUAAAAACUUAGCCAACCAUUCUAAUUAUUAAAUUAUACAAGAAAUAAUAAAAAGACAUCACCCGUAUUAAAAAAGAAUAUGGAAGGAAGUGGAUCUUCAAUUAAAUCUUGAUUUUGAAUGGAUAAUCUUCAAAAAUUUUGCACAAUUCUGUUGUUAAUGAUCUAACCUCAUCCUUCACCUCCAAAAUAAACCAAAUAUUAAGACUCUUAUGUCUAAGGAGGUACCUCAUGUUUUGGAUAGCUUAUGAUAUAUAUAGAGUGUCGAAAGAUUGCAUAUCAAAAAUUUUCAAAAUAAAAUAAAGAAAUCCAAUUUUCCCCUAAAAUUAAACCAUGUGUACGCAUGGUUUAAAUUGAGUGUACACACAAUACACAAAAUUUGACCUCAAGUAAUGCUUUUUGUGACUUUGUGUGCACAAGGACGGUAGGCCCAUGAGUACGCAUAGUACUAAUUUUGAGGAUACAAAUUAGUCCCUAAACCCUCGCACUUGUGUAUUUUGAUCAUUUCAACAAUUUCUCCCAUUGACUUUUCAUCAACUCCAAUUGACUUUGCAUUUCGACACAACUUUUGAAUUAUUGCAUUUUAGUUCCCAUAGUUUUAAUUUCGUCAUUUUUUUCUCUAUUUUUCUUUUGUUUUCUUCAAUUCUUUAUUAGAUCAUGAGUUUUACUUAUUAGAUGCAACAUAACACAAAUUAGGCUAUAUUUCAUAAAAAAAAUUAAAAAAUAUCAUUAUUUAAAUCCCAAAUACACCAACGUAUGUUAUAGGACAUAUUGGACUGUUAUGGGCCAAAGGCCUUUUGGGUAAAUUGGUCGGGUUACCCUGCCAUUUGUCACUAAAUCAUCUACUAUCUAUUUCUAUAUCCACAAUGGUUUGGCCCAUUA
RNAcentral lists this long non-coding RNA (891 nucleotides) under Olea europaea subsp. europaea. The record is from RNAcentral. Lineage: Eukaryota; Viridiplantae; Streptophyta; Magnoliopsida; Lamiales; Oleaceae.